AGAGUUUGAUCCUGGCUCAGGACGAACGCUGGCGGCGUGCUUAACACAUGCAAGUCGAACGGAAAGGCCUCUUGCUUGCAAGGGGUACUCGAGUGGCGAACGGGUGAGUAACACGUGGGUGAUCUGCCUUGCACUCUGGGAUAAGCUUGGGAAACUGGGUCUAAUACCGGAUAUGAACUGCCUUUAGUGUGGUGGUUGGAAAGUUUUUUCGGUGCAAGAUGAGCUCGCGGCCUAUCAGCUUGUUGGUGGGGUAAUGGCCUACCAAGGCGUCGACGGGUAGCCGGCCUGAGAGGGUGUACGGCCACAUUGGGACUGAGAUACGGCCCAGACUCCUACGGGAGGCAGCAGUGGGGAAUAUUGCACAAUGGGCGGAAGCCUGAUGCAGCGACGCCGCGUGGGGGAUGACGGCCUUCGGGUUGUAAACUCCUUUCGACAGGGACGAAGCUUUUUGUGACGGUACCUGUAUAAGAAGCACCGGCUAACUACGUG
This 489-nucleotide ribosomal RNA is filed under the name uncultured Corynebacterium sp. Its description in RNAcentral is "bacterial SSU rRNA". It matches the Rfam family "Bacterial small subunit ribosomal RNA", at positions 8 to 507 of the family's 1533-position model. Lineage: Bacteria; Bacillati; Actinomycetota; Actinomycetes; Mycobacteriales; Corynebacteriaceae. The record is from RNAcentral.